GACGAACGCUGGCGGCGUGCCUAAUACAUGCAAGUAGAACGCACAGUUUAUACCGUAGCUUGCUACACCAUAGACUGUGAGUUGCGAACGGGUGAGUAACGCGUAGGUAACCUGCCUGGUAGCGGGGGAUAACUAUUGGAAACAAUAGCUAAUACCGCAUAAUAUUAAUUAUUGCAUGAUAAUUAAUUGAAAGGUGCAAUUGCACCACUACCAGAUGGACCUGCGUUGUAUUAGCUAGUAGGUGAGGUAACGGCUCACCUAGGCGACGAUACAUAGCCGACCUGAGAGGGUGAUCGGCCACACUGGGACUGAGACACGGCCCAGACUCCUACGGGAGGCAGCAGUAGGGAAUCUUCGGCAAUGGACGAAAGUCUGACCGAGCAACGCCGCGUGAGUGAAGAAGGUUUUCGGAUCGUAAAGCUCUGUUGUAAGAGAAGAACGGGUGUGAGAGUGGAAAGUUCACACUGUGACGGUAUCUUACCAGAAAGGGACGGCUAACUACGUG
RNAcentral lists this ribosomal RNA (505 nucleotides) under uncultured bacterium. RNAcentral describes it as "partial 16S ribosomal RNA". It matches the Rfam family "Bacterial small subunit ribosomal RNA", at positions 28 to 507 of the family's 1533-position model. The record is from RNAcentral.